Molecule: ribosomal RNA, 464 nt
Filed under: uncultured bacterium
Lineage: Bacteria
Description: bacterial SSU rRNA
Rfam family: Bacterial small subunit ribosomal RNA
Source: RNAcentral
UAGUCCACGCCGUAAACGAUGGUUACUAGCUGUUCGGACUUCGGUCUGAGUGGCUAAGCGAAAGUGAUAAGUAACCCACCUGGGGAGUACGUUCGCAAGAAUGAAACUCAAAGGAAUUGACGGGGGCCCGCACAAGCGGUGGAGCAUGUGGAUUAAUUCGAUGAUACGCGAGGAACCUUACCAGGGCUUAAAUGUAGAUUGACAGGUUUAGAGAUAGACUUUUCUUCGGACAAUUUACAAGGUGCUGCAUGGUUGUCGUCAGCUCGUGCCGUGAGGUGUCAGGUUAAGUCCUAUAACGAGCGCAACCCCUGCCGUUAGUUGCCAUCAAGUAAAGUUGGGGACUCUAACGGGACUGCCGGUGCAAACCGCGAGGAAGGGUGGGGACGACGUCAAAUCAUCACGGCCCUUACGUCCUGGGGCUACACACGUGCUACAAUGGCCGGUACAGAGAGUUGCCACAUCGC